GAAAAACUAGCCUUUUCAAAUUCAAGUUGUGUGACCUCCAAUUCUCUUUAGCUUCCCUCCAAUUAUUUUUAGUCUCUAAAUUCCCCCAUUCAAAUUCGAAGCCUACGAUCUCUCUCUCUCUCUCCAUUUCUCUUCCUCUGAUCGGGUUAGAAAUUUUCCUCCGCAGAUUCACACAAAACUUUGCCUUUCACUAUUCACCAGCAGUAGUCGAGCUCGGGUGUUAAAGUUUAGAGAAACUUAAACAAGGAAAUUUGGCUCUAAGGUCACACAAUGGUAGCAGACAAGAGUAUCACAUUGUUAAUAAAUGGAAGAGAAGAUUGAGAAUAUCACAUUGUUGAUGAGAGACUCAGUUUUCAAUUUGAUGUUUAGUUGUCUUGUACAUAAGGAUACUACAUUUCUUACAAGUCGAUAACUAAGUUGGUGUGUCGGCUUUGUUAGUUCUUGUUUCAAG
This is a non-coding RNA of Nicotiana tabacum (common tobacco), 451 nucleotides long. The record is from RefSeq and is a predicted model, not a curated record. Lineage: Eukaryota; Viridiplantae; Streptophyta; Magnoliopsida; Solanales; Solanaceae.